This 274-nucleotide ribosomal RNA is filed under the name uncultured bacterium. RNAcentral's name for it is "partial 16S ribosomal RNA". It matches the Rfam family "Bacterial small subunit ribosomal RNA", at positions 523 to 796 of the family's 1533-position model. The record is from RNAcentral.
AUACGGAGGGUCCGAGCGUUAUCCGGAAUCAUUGGGUUUAAAGGGUCCGUAGGCGGGAAUCUAAGUCAGUGGUGAAAUCUUGCAGCUCAACUGUAAAAUUGCCAUUGAUACUGGAUUUCUUGAAUUAGUGUGAAGUGGUUAGAAUGUGUAGUGUAGCGGUGAAAUGCAUAGAUAUUACACAGAAUACCAAUUGCAAAGGCAGAUCACUAACACUAUAUUGACGCUAAGGGACGAAAGCGUGGGGAGCGAACAGGAUUAGAAACCCGAGUAGUCC